CCUACGGGGGGCAGCAGUGGGGAAUAUUGCGCAAUGGGUGAAAGCCUGACGCAGCGACGCCGCGUGAGGGAUGAAGGUCUUCGGAUCGUAAACCUCUGUCAGCAGGGAAGAACGGUCACUGUGCUAAUCAGCAUUGAAUUGACGGUACCUGCAAAGGAAGCACCGGCUAACUCCGUGCCAGCAGCCGCGGUAAUACGGAGGGUGCGAGCGUUAAUCGGAAUUACUGGGCGUAAACCGCUCGUAGGCGGUAUGUCAAGUCAAGGGUGAAAUCCCCGCGCUCAACGUGGGAACUGCCGUUGAAACUGGCAAACUGGAAUGUGUGAGAGGAUAGUGGAAUUCCAGGUGUAGGAGUGAAAUCCGUAGAUAUCUGGAGGAACAUCAGUGGCGAAGGCGACUAUCUGGCACAUAACUGACGCUGAGGAGCGAAAGCGUGGGUAGCAAACAGGAUUAGAUACCCGUGUAGUC
Molecule: ribosomal RNA, 465 nt
Filed under: uncultured bacterium
Lineage: Bacteria
Description: partial 16S ribosomal RNA
Rfam family: Bacterial small subunit ribosomal RNA
Source: RNAcentral